RNAcentral lists this transfer RNA (58 nucleotides) under Ichneumonidae sp. MT-2014. RNAcentral's name for it is "tRNA-Ala". Lineage: Eukaryota; Metazoa; Arthropoda; Insecta; Hymenoptera; Ichneumonidae. The record is from RNAcentral.
AGGGUAAUUUACAAAUUAAUUUGCACUUAAAUAUUAUUGAUAAAAUCAAUUUACCUUA